UACGUAGGGUGCGAGCGUUAAUCGGAAUUACUGGGCGUAAAGCGUGCGCAGGCGGUUUUUUAAGUCAGAUGUGAAAUCCCCGGGCUUAACCUGGGAAUGGCAUUUGGGACUGGAAGGCUGGAGUGUGGCAGAGGAGACUGGAAUUCCCGGUGUAGCAGUGAAAUGCGUAGAUAUCGGGAGGAAUACCGAUGGCGAAGGCAGGUCUCUGGGCUGACACUGACGCUCAUGCACGAAAGCGUGGGGAGCAAACAGG
RNAcentral lists this ribosomal RNA (253 nucleotides) under uncultured bacterium. RNAcentral describes it as "partial 16S ribosomal RNA". It matches the Rfam family "Bacterial small subunit ribosomal RNA", at positions 524 to 776 of the family's 1533-position model. The record is from RNAcentral.